UCCACCUCCUCCCUCUCCUUCUUUCAGGCUCUCGAUAGUGCCAGCUCCCCAUUGGUCACUAGAGCUAUGACGUAGGCGACGUCCGCUACAGCGGAUUGGACAGUGGAGGAAGAGUUUGGGAAUCUGGCGGGGGACGCUGGUUGGCCUGUUACUCCGGCAACUGAGCAAACAACCCAGGCAAGCGACUGAGAUCCGACCAGAGCUAGCUUCUUGGUCCUGCCUUACUCCCGACGACUACGGAGUCACUUCUAUAGCAUCUCAGCUCCUUCCCUUUCUUUCUCUCGGGAUUCUCAUCCCCCGGAACUAGGUGUUCUGCCUUCGACCUUUCCCCACACUCCAACCCCCACCCCAAGACACGGUCACCGGCCACAAAAGGCUGGAACGAAUCUGCAUAUUAGGGACCAACCCGCGUGCUCCUUCACCACUGUUUAUUCUAGGCCAAAAAGCUUAGACUGAGAUUCUAGCCCUGUCCCCAGCUUCUGCCCUUUACUCAUAUGCUUACAAUUUCCUGGAACAGAGGUGGGGGUGGGUGCCAGACGGAUGACAGGAAAUCAAAGGAGAACCUCAGCCCGCCUUCCCUACACGCUGGGUCAUGGCUACAUCCUCCCCCCACCCCAACCCGCAAGCCUGGUGGGCGUCUCAUCUUCGCCAUCUCGUGGCUACGAGGGAAAGAUUCAGUAUGGAGAAAGGGCCAAAGCCCAGAGAAGGCUAGGGGGACUGAAGACGGAAAAGUGGUAUUGCGCCAGGGACUAGGGGAACGAACCAGGCGAGGUCGAGCGCAGAAGGAGGACCACAUUGAGCGGGGAGGGGUCAAGAGCCAGCAACUUUCGGGUCCCCUCAUAGUCAAUCAUCUCAGGGAUCUUCUGCUUCACGUCGGCAGCUAGCUCAAGGACCUAGGGAGGCAGAAGCUUAGAGCUGGCCUGCCCUUCCUCAGCACGCUCCCUCCCACGGGACAGCCUCUGCUCCUACCUUCUCCUCUCGGCUCUGGCCGCCAAUCCUGGUGGGUGUGAUUUGGGGUUGCAGGGAAAGCAGAGUCUCAAAGAGGGUCCGGGCCUCAGUGAUCUGGGAGGCCACAUCAGCAUUGGGAUGCUGGCCAAAGGCCUCAGGGGGGUCCAUGCUGGGUAGCAAGCUGAUAUAUUCUUUGUAGGAGGCCAAACUCCCAUCCUUCGGGAUGAAAUAAGUGUCCAAUACGGACAACCUGGGCAGCCACAGUGGAGUAUUAUUACCACAUUGCAGGACUUGAAGGGCGUUCAUGCCAAGCCCAAUCCCCAGUCUCAAUACUUUCCCAUUUGUCUAACUCGUGACCCUUGCUCUUCCUCCCAAUCCCACAAUUUCUAUCUUCUCCCAACCUCCUAGUCUCUAUACACACACACACACACACCAUACAUGUGCACACCACACACACAUAGCACCCAAUCCUGACCCCUCGUCUGUUUAUAUCCUUUUACCCCUUCCUCACCGGUAGGAGGGAGUUGUUAGACUCUGGUCACAGAAAUAAUCAUUGAUGUAAGUGGUGAGAAGGCGCCGGUCCCAGUCAUCUGUGACAUGGCCACCAUAGUUGACGCCGGCGAUGAGAUAUUUGAGUGCAUCCCAGGGUGUCUCCUCAUACUCAUCCAGAUAGAGGCUCAGCAGGUUCUCUGACACCUGUGUGUGGUUCCGACCCAAGCCCCAUAUGGUUAUGGCAAGAACUCCUCCGAUGGGUCUGUAACACCAGCUUUCUGGCAGCCAGUAUUCCCACAAAAGAGCCAUGGGUCAAGAAGUAUGAGAAGAAAGGGCUGUCGUGGGAGGCCCCUAGUUAGCACAAACCUCGAAGUCAGAGUCGUUGAAGCCAUAGAUGAUAUUCCAGCCAAGCUGCAAGAACUUUUUGCGUUCAAGUAAUAUAGAGUGGAAGAAGCAGAGCGCAAACAGCAGCUUCUUAUACUUGGCAGGCUUGGAGCAGCGCGUGAACUGUGGUUCCGUCAUCAGCUGAUACAGCCGUGUCAUGUUGGCCUUCAGACCCUGCGGACAGGACAGUACAGGGUGAUAUUUGUGGUACUCAACUCUGUCUGUCACUAGCAGCAUCAUGGGCAGUUGCGGAGGAGGCCUUGCACAAAGGUCCUGGCUCAAGGAGGGAUGGAAGCCUCUAGAGUACUAGCCUCUGAUCUGCAUGCCAAGAUAGACGCUCCUUCGCAGGGUGGGCACCUUUGAGAUCUACUGCGUAUGCUACUGGUAAUCCUACCUUCUCCCUCACACCAUUUAUUCAUUUGGGGGGAUAGUCCUGGACAUUGAACCUUGGGCUUUAACAUGUGAGGCAAUCACUCUGCCACUGGGCUACGUCCUAAGCCACUCCCUCCCCAUUUCUGGAGAGAAGUUCUCAGGGUAUAGCUCUAGAUGGCCUGGAAUUCCUGUGUAGAUUAGGUGACCUGGAACUCAACGGACUACAGAUAGGGGUCACAGCACCCAGCCCGGCCUCCAUGUUUGAUUCUCUCAAUCAUGAUGUCCCCGAAGAAUGAGCCAAUUCAAUUUGCAAGUGCCAGAAAAUAUGGCAAAAUACCGAAGGUGUGCACCUACAAUUAUGUGUUCACUGGUAUUUGUUUUGUUUUAUUUCAAUGCUGGGGAUUGAACCGCAAAGCCUUGUUCAAGCCAGGAAAAUAUUCUACCACUGAGCUAUACUCUCAGUCCGCUGCAACUGAGAAUUUUUUUUUAAAUGUAUGGAAUUGUGGGAGACCAAAGUAAGAGGAUCAAAACUUCGAAGCCAGCCUGGGCUACUUGGCAAAAGGAGAAAAGACAAACCGGAAACCAUGUUACAGGAAAGAUUAGCAUCUGGACUGUGUGACUAUGGAGCGAUGUCAAGUACACUGCACUAAGUGGGAAAAGAAACCAUAUGGUAUGACUGUAUUUGUGACACAGAGUUGUGUGUUAAAAUUAGAAAGAAAAUUACAAACAAUAUUCAAAUAAUGGCUCUGGGUCUGGAGAGAAGGGGCAAGAUUAAGAAAAGACGCUUUAAAGAAAUGUUUCCAAAAAGGA
Molecule: non-coding RNA, 3006 nt
Organism: Myodes glareolus (Bank vole)
Lineage: Eukaryota; Metazoa; Chordata; Mammalia; Rodentia; Cricetidae
Source: RefSeq, a predicted model, not a curated record